Long non-coding RNA from Tympanuchus pallidicinctus (lesser prairie-chicken), 2759 nucleotides. RefSeq lists it as uncharacterized. The transcript has 2 exons. Lineage: Eukaryota; Metazoa; Chordata; Aves; Galliformes; Phasianidae. The record is from RefSeq and is a predicted model, not a curated record.
ACCUCGGAGAGCCCCCGGUACCGCCCCGCAGAGAAAGGGCCGACAACCAACCGAUAAAUCAAUGAGUGACUGAUAGAAGAUACACUCGUGGGAAAAUGAAACGAUUUUCUGAAGCACUGUUUCAGAGAUGAGGAACAGACGAGUAUCACAGGGAAGGCCAUCUAGUGGGAAAGAACAAUACAGAGAAUUAUUAUUUGAGGAAGUUGUCCUGUAAUUCCAGUGGGAUGUGAGAAAAAAAUUCUGUUGUGAAAACUUAAAGUAUCUUAACCAUUUUGACACAUGAAAUAGUUUUACCUUGGGAUACCCCAACUUUUUAAAUCCUUUUUCUUUUUUUUUUUUUUUCCCCUGAAAGAAAACUAAAAAUGGGUACUGUGUGUACAAACCUUCUGUUUUAAAGAAAACUACGUUUUCCACUGAUUGAUGAAAAAAAAUCCCAAGUCAGUCUACUCACAGUUUGUUUAAAAUGAUCAUUUAUUGUAUCUUUUUCAGAGUCAUUCAGAAAUUUUUACAGGCAAAACUCUAAUAUUUUUAUUUAUGAAAACGCAAUUACACUGCACUAUUACUUGUAUACUUAAAGUAGAACGAAAAUGCAUUUGGUUACUCAGUAGGAAGGAAUGUUUGAACUAAGCAGUUGUACUAAUUCAAGCAAAAUGCCAGGCACUUUUGGAUUUUUGCUUAGAUUUAGUGGUCUUUUCAUCUUGCAAGUAGUACAAUAUGCUGCUCACAGCAGCUUGAAUGUGUUAUUUAUUACCACAAAAUCAGAGUAGAGCAAAAAAAAUCAAUGCUGUGAGUUUUGAUUGAGAGAGUGAUCCCAAGACAAUAAUCUACUGAGAUCCCCAGCUUGUAGCUCUAUUCACUUCCUGUGCCAUAUGCUUUUUGCUCCACAAAGGUCUCAGUGAGCCUCUGGAAGACUGUAAGAUCCUGCAUCCAAGUAAAGAAGUUACAGACUUGGUGUGGCAUUCUGCUGGUACUUUAUUAGGAGUGCUUUGCUGAAUAGUUUAUAGCAGGAUUGAGAUCACUAUUAUAUGUUAUUUUUCUUCCCUGAAGUCCAUUCAUGUUUCUUUAUUAAACAACAAGAUUAAAGCCAGUCAGCAGACAGGCUUCUAAAUUGUAGUUGAAUAAAAAGAAGAAAAAAUAUUGUCAGUUAGUCAGAAUAAAUCUAUAUGCUGUUUUUUAGUAAUAAAGCUAGAAAAAGAAUUUGCACUGAAUAUUAAUGAACAGCGUAUUUGUUCACAUCUUUGAUACACUGUUGUUCUACAGCUUGUAGUAAUCUCAACAUUUCAAAGUCUCAGUAAAAAAAGUUGUAAGAAAGUCUGUAAAAAAUAUGCAGCAGUAGAAAUUAAUAUUCAGAAAUGCACUGUGGGAUUAUGUGAUUGCUGCUUUAUUGCCAAUCAUGAAAAUAUAAAAAAGUAAGAUUUUUUUCUGAGAAUUUUUAUUAAAUAAUAAUCUAACAAUCUUCUAAAAAGUCGGGAAAAGACAGUGCUAAUAAAUAGAGAACCACUACAUUACCAGAAGUUGUGAUUUAAGAAAAGUUUUUUCGCUAUUUUUUCUUCCCCAUUCUACUAAAGAUGCAAGCAAUCGGAGUCAGUUUGCACAUCCAAACCUCACACAGCAUUACUGUUAAGGAGCUACAAAGGAUUCAGCAUCUGCUCCUGGAAUCUGAAUUUAUACCUUGGAACACAGCUAGGAAAUAUAUUUCUUAUUUGAAUAUCAUGAUUCUGGAAAUAUUUACAAAAAAUGUUUUGUUUUUUUUUUACAUUAAAAAUAUCCUUAAUGGGCCUUGGCUAUAUUGCAUAGGCUUUCUAAAUGUACAGAGUGCCCUUGAUAUUGGAAAUAUUUGGGGUUUUUUUUGUGUUUUUUUUUUUGUUUUGUUUUGUUUUGUUUUGUUUGUUUUUAAUGCAAAUAGGUGUUCAGUGAGACAAAAUGGAUCUUGUCAGUAUUUUAGUGAAUUUUAGUAUGUAAUACCAGAUUUCGAGACAUACAUAUAAAAACAUACAGCUUUAUAUAUUAGUUACUAUUUUCCUUUCUUAAAGAACACUUCCAGAAACCAUUCUUGCAGUAGCUACGAACAUACAGAAGAGAACAAUUCCACUGAAAUCAACAUAAUUUUAGUGAUAACCAAGGCUUCAGGAUGAAAUGAAAGUAGCAUUACUUCAGAUGCAAGGAAGAGAGCAUUUGGCAUGCUCAGUUGCUUCCAGGAAAAGCUUGAAGUUCUGUAAAAUCCCUUUCUCAAGAUAGCCUUGGAUUUGGCAGUGACUCCUGAGGAGCACUGUUGUCAAUUGCUGUAGCAUUGACUCUGCAUCUUGUCUUCGAGAGCAUAUCUGGUUGCAUUUCUGAAAGCAUCAUUUAAAUAGUUUGCUCUUGACAUGAAGUCAGAAACUUGUCAUCCAGUUCUGAGAUGAGUUAAUCUGGAUAUGAAAAUUUCUUCUUUUUGUUGAGUGGGAAGUUCACAGACAACUCUUCAGCUUUUCACUAACCUGUCUAUCAAAGCUGAAGUAGCAAAAUUUGAGGAAAAGCACUGAUCUGGUGAUCUAGCAAAACAAGCCAAUCCCCCCAUAUAACUCUGAUGUAUUUACACUGAAGCAAUGUUGCAUACACCAUGCUUACUAUACAUAUGAUACAGAAAUAAGAUGAGAUAGAUACUAUAUUUCAGUAUUUUGCUCCUUCAGAUCAUAUUGUAAAGUGUGUUAAGGUAUUACUAGAAUAAGAGAGUCCAGUAGAGCUGUUUUUGUGGGAAAAUAAAAGCCGGAUUUAAUUAA